CCACUGGCGGAUUACCGGUAGGAACAUGAAUGCUGGCAGAGUAUACGGAGACGUCAGUAGCUGAAGCAACAGGAGUAGUCGUAGUAGCGCUAGUUGGGGAAACUGAAUCGCUGUCAAUUUCAAUGGAACGCUUCGCGUAGGAACCGGCAGUCUCAGUAACAGUGAAAGUUACAGUGUCUGGUUUGAGGACAUUGUAAACAGUAACAACAGGUUGGGAGGUGACUUCAGAGCUUGAACAGUCAACAGUGCGAACUAAAUAGACUGUAGUAGUAGCAGGGGUAGAGACAAUCGAAACACCCGAAUCAGCAAAAACGCUUCCAGCGAGGAAAGAGACAGCGCACAAGGUUUGGAAGAUAGAGCGAAGAA
Molecule: non-coding RNA, 366 nt
Organism: Schizosaccharomyces pombe (fission yeast)
Lineage: Eukaryota; Fungi; Ascomycota; Schizosaccharomycetes; Schizosaccharomycetales; Schizosaccharomycetaceae
Source: the annotation of a GenBank genome assembly